GACGAACGCUGGCGGCGUGCCUAAUACAUGCAAGUCGAGCGAUGAUUAAAGAUAGCUUGCUAUUUUUAUGAAGAGCGGCGAACGGGUGAGUAACGCGUGGGAAAUCUGCCGAGUAGCGGGGGACAACGUUUGGAAACGAACGCUAAUACCGCAUAACAAUGAGAAUCGCAUGAUUCUUAUUUGAAAGAAGCAAUUGCUUCACUACUUGAUGAUCCCGCGUUGUAUUAGCUAGUUGGUAGUGUAAAGGACUACCAAGGCGAUGAUACAUAGCCGACCUGAGAGGGUGAUCGGCCACACUGGGACUGAGACACGUCCCAGACUCCUACGGGAGGCAGCAGUAGGGAAUCUUCGGCAAUGGGGGCAACUCUGACCGAGCAACGCCGCGUGAGUGAAGAAGGUUUUCGGAUCGUAAAACUCUGUUGUUAGAGAAGAACGUUAAGUAGAGUGGAAAAUUACUUAAGUGACGGUAUCUAACCAGAAAGGGACGGCUAACUACGUGCCAGCAGCCGCAGUAA
This 515-nucleotide ribosomal RNA is filed under the name uncultured bacterium. RNAcentral describes it as "partial 16S ribosomal RNA". It matches the Rfam family "Bacterial small subunit ribosomal RNA", at positions 28 to 523 of the family's 1533-position model. The record is from RNAcentral.